AGUGCCUAAGUUUUCUCUGAGAUUCAUGAGUCAGAAAUGGGAGCCCUCCCCUAGGACUGGUAACUGGCGCACCAUGAAUCUGCUUCACAUAUAACACCUGCCAGGUGUCCUUCAAAAAUGUCAUGUGCUCAUAAACACUUCAAAUUCUCAGUGGUUCUUUCUGAAUUAUAAACUCCAUGAAGACCCAAUUCCAUCAGCAGCCAUUGGAAGUUUUUGACAAAAUGGGAAGAUCACUGCUGUAUAUUUGUAGUUUAAAUAGCGAGCAUUUAAAGCUUUCUCUGAGGCAGUUUCUGGAAAGUUAAAGACUAAUGAGAAAAACAGCUGAAGAAACUCUCCCCAAUGAGUUUAUGUCCCUAAGCGAUGAAUUUUUGAAUGGUGCAAUGUUCUAACAUGUGAUGGACAGCGAAUUCCCAGAGAAUCAUCAAGUACACUUUGGAAUAAAUGAACAGCAGGACAUAUUUUUUAAGGAGUGCUGAGCCGCAGUAAAACUCCAGAGAAUGCUCUAAUUUCUUGAUUUAUUUCCUGGAUUUCCUCCUAAUAAACAAAGAAUGAUGAAAGCAAAUAUGCAAGGGCCAAGUUUCUACGGUCCAGCAAUCACAGAAUCAUUAAUGCUGUGAUGCUUCCAAGAAUAUGGGCAAACAGCAAGAGAAAGAAACUAGUAAACUUUGAAGAAAUCCCUUUGAGAAAAUUUUUAAAUGAUCCAGGAUAAAUAGAAAAUAAUGUGCUGCUGUUCAGAUAAAUUUACUGGAGAAACCACAAAGAUGAGAUUGUUAAGGAAGAGUCAAGGGAUGGGGACUAUAAAAUGCAUAUGCUUCUCCAGAUAACACUGAGUUUUCAGAGUGGCAACCAACAUUGCAGCUUUGAAAAGAAAAAAAAACACUUGGAAAGUGAAAAAGAAAGAGGGGAAAUUAUAUGUACAAUUAUCAGAAAAGCAACAUCUGAGAAUUCAGCAA
This is a long non-coding RNA of Homo sapiens (human), 953 nucleotides long. NCBI's taxonomy places the organism in Eukaryota, Metazoa, Chordata, Mammalia, Primates, Hominidae. The record is from Ensembl.